UUUCCGUAGGUGAACCUGCGGAAGGAUCAUUGUCGAAACCUGCCCAGCAGAACGACCCGCGAACUUGUAUAAACAACUGGGGGCGGGGGGCGUUCUCGCCCCGUGCCCCCGAAGGGCGGGGAGACACUCGUGCCUUCUUGCCGAACAACGAACCCCGGCGCGGUCUGCGCCAAGGAACUUCAACUAAAGAGUGCCUCCGGUCGCCUCGGAAACGGCGUGCGUGCCGGAGGCGAAUCUUGUGCAAAACCAUAACGACUCUCGGCAACGGAUAUCUCGGCUCUC
RNAcentral lists this unclassified non-coding RNA (282 nucleotides) under plant metagenome. RNAcentral describes it as "partial contains small subunit ribosomal RNA, internal transcribed spacer 1, and 5.8S ribosomal RNA". The record is from RNAcentral.